GACUAACGUUGGCGGCGUGCCUAAUACAUGCAAGUCGAGCGGAUCAGGGGGCAACUCCUGGUUAGCGGCGAACGGGUGAGUAACACGUGGAUGAUCUACCUUCGAGAUUGGAACAACCAGCCGAAAGGUUGGCUAAUGCCAAAUGUGACCACGGCCAGUAUCAUCUGGCUGCGGUAAAAGCAGGGGACCGCAAGGCCUUGCGCUUGAAUAUGAGUCCGCGCCUGAUUAGCUAGUUGGCGGGGUAAUGGCCCACCAAGGCGACGAUCAGUAGCCGGCCUGAGAGGGUGAACGGCCACACUGGGACUGAGACACGGCCCAGACUCCUACGGGAGGCAGCAGUAGGGAAUUUUCCACAAUGGGCGAAAGCCUGAUGGAGCAACGCCGCGUGAGGGAUGAAGGUCUUCGGAUUGUAAACCUCUUUGGAGUGGGAAGAACGAUUCCGGUGUUAACAGCGCCGGGAAGUGACGGUACCACUAG
Molecule: ribosomal RNA, 477 nt
Filed under: uncultured bacterium
Lineage: Bacteria
Description: bacterial SSU rRNA
Rfam family: Bacterial small subunit ribosomal RNA
Source: RNAcentral